CCUACGGGUGGCAGCAGUGAGGAAUAUUGGUCAAUGGACGAGAGUCUGAACCAGCCAAGUAGCGUGAAGGAUGACUGCCCUAUGGGUUGUAAACUUCUUUUAUAUGGGAAUAAAAUGUUCCACGUGUGGGAUUUUGUAUGUACCAUAUGAAUAAGGAUCGGCUAACUCCGUGCCAUAAGCCGCGGUAAUACGGAGGAUCCGAUCGUUAUCCGGAUUUAUUGGGUUUAAAGGGAGCGUAGGUGGAUUGUUAAGUCAGUUGUGAAAGUUUGCGGCUCAACCGUAAAAUUGCAGUUGAAACUGGCAGUCUUGAGUACAGUAGAGGUGGGCGGAAUUCGUGGUGUAGCGGUGAAAUGCUUAGAUAUCACGAAGAACUCCGAUUGCGAAGGCAGUUCACUGGACUGCAACUGACACUGAGGCUCGAAAGUGUGGGUAUCAAACAGGAUUAGAUACCCUGGUAGUC
Molecule: ribosomal RNA, 460 nt
Filed under: uncultured bacterium
Lineage: Bacteria
Description: partial 16S ribosomal RNA
Rfam family: Bacterial small subunit ribosomal RNA
Source: RNAcentral